AGAUAUCCAAACUAUAUCAUGUGUCAUCGCUCAGAAACAGAUUGUUCUAUCAGCACAAUACAUUUGCUACUUGGAAAACCACAUCACCCUUCCUAAUGUCUGGGUUACGGGCUUGGCAAUAUUGCUGUGAAGCCACUGGUGCACUAUCUCCCUACAUGCAUGUCACUGCAAGCCCUAAGAAUUUUUCCUUUUUAUCCUUUAGGGUAUUUCUAUGGGCAGUCUGACCACUGGACCACUGCCAUGGCACAGUGCAAUACACAGUGUGAUCUGCGGGCCAGCCCUGGUCUCUCAAGUUUGUUACAGGUCUGCAACAAGACACAUCCCUGACUGCCUGUACGCUGCACAGAAGCCUCACUUCCUGUCCUUGGUCAGCUGCCACCAUCUUUACAGAGGAAAGAGCAUGUGCAAAGGCCCUGAGGUGGGAGUAUGGAGACCAAGGAAGGCAAGUGCCUGGGAUACAGUGAGAAAGGGGAAAGGAAGAGCUCAGGAGGAGGAGGGCAUCCGGUAAGGAUUCUGGCUUUCACUCUAGGUGAUAUGCAGGUCUAGCUAACUCCAAUUUUCACAGUCUGAUGAAUAAUUGUCCAACAAUUAAUAAUUGUCCAAUAAUGAUAAUAUGAUUGGCAUGCUCCUGGGUGCAUCUGAGUAGCUGGACAGCCAGAGGACUCGCCCCUGGGAGAUAAAGGUAUCACUGAUAUAUGGGAUAUCAUUUGCCAGAUGAGACAGUGAGAAAAUGCCUCUUCCAAGAUCCAGGCUCUCUGAAGAGCUAUCUUAUCUGUGAAAAUCCUCAGCACUACAAGGUGACCUCCAAGCAAGGAUUUUUAGAGAGAGG
This 829-nucleotide long non-coding RNA is filed under the name Homo sapiens (human). Its description in RNAcentral is "HSALNT0098592". Lineage: Eukaryota; Metazoa; Chordata; Mammalia; Primates; Hominidae. The record is from RNAcentral.